RNAcentral lists this long non-coding RNA (2352 nucleotides) under Gallus gallus (chicken). Its description in RNAcentral is "lncRNA (ENSGALG00010010660.1)". Lineage: Eukaryota; Metazoa; Chordata; Aves; Galliformes; Phasianidae. The record is from RNAcentral.
AAAGGAAAGAAAGAAAAGAAAAGAAAAGAAAAGAAAAGAAAAGAAAAGAAAAGAAAAGAAAAGAAAAGAAAAGAAAAGAAAAGAAAAGAAAAGAAAAGAAAAGAAAAGAAAAGAAAAGAAAAAAAGCCCAAAUUAGGCAUCGGAUAUCACGAGUCACAGUGGUACUCAGAGUUCCUUCUGCUGCUACGAAUAGAAAUUACUGUUAAAAGUCUCUCUGAAAAGGUGUCUGUAAUUCAGAAUUUGUUUUAUGUGCAAUUUAAAGUAGCUUAAAUUUAUUUGUUCUCUUUCAGAAGUUAUACUUUAACAUGAAAAACACCGAAGAGCAUAAAUUGUUCUUUAUUUAACAAUUUUAGAUCUGGGAAUAUUUCAUUUAGAUCUAUUCUAGAUUUUACUGCUGGUGUUAACAUGCAGGUAGUAUUCUGUCAUUCUUUCAUUUUUGCAAUGAUCUAACAGUGAAUUUUUCACUGAUGCAACAUGCAGAUAUUAUUCUUUUAUAUGCAUUUCAGUAAAUAUUAAACAAGUAUAUAAAAUAUAUGUAAAGGGUACUGGGAAUUUAGGGCCUACUCUGUAUGCUUAUGAUGGAGGUUGUUGUCCACUCUUCCGAAAGAUGACACUCGAGAAUUCAGAUGACAUGGAAAAUACAGAGGUUUUAAAUAGUGAUACAGCUAAAAUGCAAAACUCAGCCAAUGACAGCAAUAUCCCUUCCAAACUCUUUUUAACAGACACAAACUACUAAAUCCUUUAACUACAGAAUUGAGUCUGACUGACAGCUGAAGAAAAGUACACCUGAUAUUUAGAGAUAAACACUCUCAGUGUCAUAAAAAGGUAUGCCAGAUCUAACCUUCAGCCUGGACUUAGAAUGUCACAGUACAAAGGAAAUAGUUUUGUUUUUAUUCUUUGUCAUUAACAGGCUGGCUGAGCCAGGAGUUGGCUCUAAGAGUUCCUUAAAAAUGAGAGCAAAUAAUGUAAUGUAUUUAUGUCCUAAUCACAAAAAUGCCAGAAUAGUCUGCAUACUUUGUUAAUAGUCCUAAUGCCUUUCCAGGAAGGACAUACAGAGUAGUCUCAUUGGGGUUACUCUUAGUGUUAAAAUCAUGGAUCUGUUAAAUGUGUUAGGAAAUUAUGAUCUUUACUGUAUAAUUAGUAAGAUCUCUUGAUUCUCAUUGCUUAAGAUCCCAGAAGCUGAUAGGAGCUACUUUCUCUAUUUUACAGUGGGUAAGCUUGGGUGCAUGAAGAUAGUCCUGCCAAAGGCCAGGCAGGGAAUCCUUAACAAAGCCCAGAGCCCUUUAAGUUUCAUCUGAGUACUUUAACUUCACAGCAGCAAUUUUUAUCACCCUUUUAAUUUCACUGAAAAAGCCUUUAAAUACUCAAUAUAAUAACAGGUGACUGAAGGAUGAUCUUGAGGUAACUUGAAAGGAGAAGAUUUUUCUGCUUUCCACCUUAAAAAAGCACGGGUAUAUUAAACAAUGAGAACUGACAACAAAGGUAAGCUAAAAGCUAAACAUAAUAAGACACUGUUUUCAGCAUUUCAAAAGAACUAAAUACAACACAUCAGCAGCUUCAAAAUCCUUUUGAACAAAUGCACUCAGAAACAACUAACUGGCAAACAAAGCUAUUAUGAAGAUGACAGUGUGGCCAGUGAUCUUUUGGCACAUCAACUCCAUAAAGUGUAGGCCUCUAGGAAUACUCCUCACAUUUCAGUAAGUAGAAAAGCAAAUUUAACAACAGAUACUGAGGUCAGGGUAUUAUAAUUUGUUGAUUUUUACAAAGUUUAAUAGAUGAGAAUGUCCCCAAAAUGAGAAGUAUAUCCCUUAUUUAUUGUUGAAGGGAUUUGAUUUACUUUAAAUUUUAAAGGAUCGAUACAGUGAUCAGAAUUUCAGAGUCCCAGUCACAAUACUUUAUAUUUAGAUUAAUUUUUAUUCUGCCAAAGCAAUAUAGAAGCAUCUUAAACAGCACUCAUAACAUAAGAUAGAUGUCCUGUACCCUAUCAUGUAUCAUAAUUUCUAAGUAAUUAAGCUGCUCUCAACAGACAGAAGAUCAUGCUAGUUUACGAAGACUACAAAGCAUGGUUCAAAUAAUACAUGGAAAUAACAACAUCCUUUGAAAAAUACAAGUCUUCUUUAGCUGCUGGUUUUGUGUAACUAUGCAUAAGAAGCUGUAUAGCAGAAAAAAAUCUUUCAGCCUCAUUAAUAAGGAAUGUCACUAAAAAAUAGGUAGGUAAUCAUGUCUCAUUAUCUUUCAAGAAUGUCACAGCAGAAUCAACACAGCUUCAUGGUGUUUAGGGAGAAAGGAAAGGGAACAGUCUGGCUAUCCCAUUGGCUUUCUGCUGGCUCAUGAAGAGACACUUUGAGAUGA